GCCCCCGUGGCGGAAUUGGCAUACGCGGCAGUUUGAGGGGCUGUGUCCUUACGGACGUGGAGGUUCAAGUCCUCUCGGGGGCA
Molecule: transfer RNA, 83 nt
Filed under: Chloroflexota bacterium
Lineage: Bacteria; Bacillati; Chloroflexota
Description: Chloroflexi bacterium (groundwater metagenome) tRNA-Leu
Rfam family: tRNA
About the family: Transfer RNA (tRNA) molecules are approximately 80 nucleotides in length. Their secondary structure includes four short double-helical elements and three loops (D, anti-codon, and T loops).
Source: RNAcentral